CGGCCGCGUCGACGGCUGCCGUUUACUGGGGCUUCAAUUCGCGGCCGCGUCGACGCACCGGCUAACUUCGUGCCAGCAGCCGCGGUAAUACGAAGGGUGCAAGCGUUAAUCGGAAUUACUGGGCGUAAAGCGCGCGUAGGCGUUCGUUAAGUUAGGAGUGAAAGCCCCGGGCUCAACCUGGGAAUUGCUUCUAAAACUGGCGGGCUAGAGUAUGGUAGAGGGUGGUGGAAUUUCCUGUGUAGCGGUGAAAUGCGUAGAUAUAGGAAGGAACAUCAG
This 276-nucleotide ribosomal RNA is filed under the name uncultured bacterium. Its description in RNAcentral is "partial 16S ribosomal RNA". It matches the Rfam family "Bacterial small subunit ribosomal RNA", at positions 439 to 712 of the family's 1533-position model. The record is from RNAcentral.